Molecule: long non-coding RNA, 306 nt
Organism: Biomphalaria glabrata
Lineage: Eukaryota; Metazoa; Mollusca; Gastropoda; Planorbidae
Exons: 4
Source: RefSeq, a predicted model, not a curated record
UCAAUGUAGACCUAUUUCAAUAGUUGUGACUUGACUUUCAACGAACUAGACUGAAUACAUUUAUAUGUGGAAAAACGAAGUAAUUUCAGAUGGCGUUUAAGGAUAUUUUGAUAACAAUUUGUAUUGUGUCAUGGAUCACUUGCUCUUUAUUAGAUGCCAGGAACAUUCCAGUAAAAAGAAACGUUGAGACUGACAUGUGCCCGACGCCCACGGUGUCAGCUAAUGGACAAGUUGAUUGUGAAUAUUCUGAUGCAUUACAAAUUGAGAUCUACUGUACCAUAUCAUGUAAAACUGGAUACAUGUUUG